CCAUGAAUAUUCUUACUGUUCUGACUGUAAUAAUCAGGACAGGCUAAACAAUCACUAUAAUAAUACCACUCAUUGUGUUCCCCAGACCCAGUUCUUUACCCAGGUUUGCUAUUAUAAAUGCAUGCAAUAAAC
This is a small nucleolar RNA of Sorex fumeus (smoky shrew), 132 nucleotides long. RefSeq annotates it as small nucleolar RNA SNORA72. NCBI's taxonomy places the organism in Eukaryota, Metazoa, Chordata, Mammalia, Eulipotyphla, Soricidae. The record is from RefSeq and is a predicted model, not a curated record. The transcript has a single exon.